GACGAACGCUGGCGGCGUGCUUAACACAUGCAAGUCGAACGGAAAGGCCCUGCUUUUGUGGGGUGCUCGAGUGGCGAACGGGUGAGUAACACGUGAGUAACCUGCCCUUGACUUUGGGAUAACUUCAGGAAACUGGGGCUAAUACCGGAUAGGAGCUCCUGCUGCAUGGUGGGGGUUGGAAAGUUUCGGCGGUUGGGGAUGGACUCGCGGCUUAUCAGCUUGUUGGUGGGGUAGUGGCUUACCAAGGCUUUGACGGGUAGCCGGCCUGAGAGGGUGACCGGCCACAUUGGGACUGAGAUACGGCCCAGACUCCUACGGGAGGCAGCAGUGGGGAAUAUUGCACAAUGGGCGGAAGCCUGAUGCGGCAACGCCGCGUGCGGGAUGACGGCCUUCGGGUUGUAAACCGCUUUCGCCUGUGACGAAGCGUGAGUGGCGGUAAUGGGUAAAGAGGCACCGGCUAACUACGUG
This 468-nucleotide ribosomal RNA is filed under the name uncultured bacterium. Its description in RNAcentral is "partial 16S ribosomal RNA". It matches the Rfam family "Bacterial small subunit ribosomal RNA", at positions 28 to 507 of the family's 1533-position model. The record is from RNAcentral.